CUCCCGACAACUCCUAUCUCCACCUCCACGCGGUUCCCGGUGGGAUGUUUUGUGCCAAAACAUGCAAACGGAGAGGGGGGG
Molecule: non-coding RNA, 81 nt
Organism: Aedes albopictus (Asian tiger mosquito)
Lineage: Eukaryota; Metazoa; Arthropoda; Insecta; Diptera; Culicidae
Source: Rfam